AAACUUUCAACAACGGAUCUCUUGGUUCUGGCAUCGAUGAAGAACGCAGCGAAAUGCGAUAAGUAAUGUGAAUUGCAGAAUUCAGUGAAUCAUCGAAUCUUUGAACGCACAUUGCGCCCUGUGGUAUUCCGCAGGGCAUGCCUGGUUCGAGCGUCAUU
RNAcentral lists this ribosomal RNA (158 nucleotides) under fungal endophyte sp. AP701. RNAcentral's name for it is "5.8S ribosomal RNA". It matches the Rfam family "5.8S ribosomal RNA". From Rfam's summary of the family: 5.8S ribosomal RNA (5.8S rRNA) is a component of the large subunit of the eukaryotic ribosome. Lineage: Eukaryota; Fungi. The record is from RNAcentral.